Molecule: transfer RNA, 69 nt
Filed under: Eulemur rubriventer (red-bellied lemur)
Lineage: Eukaryota; Metazoa; Chordata; Mammalia; Primates; Lemuridae
Description: tRNA-Val
Rfam family: tRNA
About the family: Transfer RNA (tRNA) molecules are approximately 80 nucleotides in length. Their secondary structure includes four short double-helical elements and three loops (D, anti-codon, and T loops).
Source: RNAcentral
CAAAGUGUAGCUUAAUCCUAAAGCAUCUGGCCUACACCCAGAAGAUUUCAUAAUGCAUGACCACUUUGA